UACGGAGGGUGCAAGCGUUAUCCGGAUUCACUGGGUUUAAAGGGUGCGUAGGCGGCUUGAUAAGUCAUUGGUGAAAGCUCGCGGCUCAACCGCGAAACUGCCAAUGAAACUGCCAAGCUUGAAUCUGGUUGAAGUGGGCGGAAUACAACAUGUAGCGGUGAAAUGCUUAGAUAUGCUGUAGAACACCGAUUGCGAAGGCAGCUCACUAAGCCAACAUUGACGCUGAGGCACGAAAGCGUGGGUAGCGAACAGG
This 253-nucleotide ribosomal RNA is filed under the name uncultured bacterium. RNAcentral describes it as "partial 16S ribosomal RNA". It matches the Rfam family "Bacterial small subunit ribosomal RNA", at positions 524 to 776 of the family's 1533-position model. The record is from RNAcentral.